Molecule: ribosomal RNA, 368 nt
Filed under: Adenomera ajurauna
Lineage: Eukaryota; Metazoa; Chordata; Amphibia; Anura; Leptodactylidae
Description: partial 16S ribosomal RNA
Rfam family: Bacterial large subunit ribosomal RNA
Source: RNAcentral
GAAAGGCACCACGAGAGUCAUACUGUCUCCUUUCUCUAAUCAGUGAAACUAAUCUCCCCGUGAAGAAGCGAGGAUAAAAAUAUAAGACGAGAAGACCCUAUGGAGCUUAAAACAAAUAACACUUGCCUGCCAAAUUUCUAAUUUCAGAAAAACUUCCUACCCCAGCAUCAUGAUUAUUAGUUUUCGGUUGGGGUGACCACGGAACAAAAAACAACCUCCGUAAUGAAGAGCACUCAUCUACUUAAUCAAGGACCACAGCCCCACACAUCAACAAAUUGACACUAAUUGACCCAACACGUUGAUCAAUGAACCAAGUUACCCUAGGGAUAACAGCGCAAUCCACUUCAAGAGCUCCUAUCGACAAGUGG